AAAACAACCAUUUCCUCUCUGCCGAGGGGGGGCUGCACACGCACAUGCACGUCCCUGCGGCAGGCUCUCUGCUUUCCAGGACUGGCUGUUUCGUGGCAGAGGCACAGCGCAGGGGCUCACGCGGUGAGAAGCUGAACCGCUCCUGGCACAGCUCCCCGCGGCCCUGCUCAGAGUCCGGCUGCUGGUUUUGCUCUGUGGCGCUGGUUCUAAGGAGCGAGGCGGGACAGACCCCCACGUUGCCGCCCACCUCUCCGGUUUCUUGUGGAAAGAAGAGGCCUUGCUUCCCAGGAAGACGGCGCACGCACGACUCUGGACUCUUGCUGGUGCCCCAGCUUCCUCCCCAGGAUGGGCCGAGGGGCUGGCUGCAGCUCAGGCCUGGCCCUGCUCCAGGUGCAGGAGGCAGGGUAAGGAGGGCCCGAGGUGAGCUCAACUGCACCUGUCACAUGGGCCUUCCCGAUGCCGCUGAGAAUGAGCGGUGAUGUCCUCUAGCAGCCCCUAGCUGGUCUCGGCUCUCCCUGGCCACAGCAGCAGACCGGGGCUGGGACUUUCUCCACGACAAGCGGACAGCACUGGCAGCCAGCGAUGACUGUCCAGAAACUGGUGGCCACGGCAGUGCUGGUGGCCCUGGUCUCUCUUGUCCUCAACAACGUGGCAGCCUUCACCCCCAACUGGGUAUACCAGACGCUGGAGGACGGGCGCAAGCGGAGUGUGGGGCUGUGGAAGUCCUGCUGGCUGGCGGACAGGGCCCGGGGAGGGUCGAGCCCCGGGGCCCGGCCCGGGCAGGCGGACGCACAGGGCUGUGAAGCUCUGGGCUGGGGCUCGGAGGUGGCAGGCUUCCAGGAGGCUCGAGGCACCGUCAAACUGCAGUUUGACAUGAUGCGCGCCUGCAACCUGGUGGCCACGGCAGCACUCGCUGCGGGACAGCUCACCUUCGUCCUGGGGCUGACGGGCCUGCCCCUGAUGUCGCCCGAUUCACAGUGCUGGGAGGAGGCCAUGGCUGCUGCGUUCCAGCUGGCGAGCUAGCUUCGGCCAGAUGCCGGGUAGUCUACCGAGUCCUUCACGAUGCCACACUGAUCCCAAACAACCUGGUCUUAAAUCUGGAAGAGGUGAGUCAGCUCUAAGACCGCAGGCAGAACAGAAAGCAUCAACGAGCUGUGUAAAACUGGCGCCACCCCCGCAAACCCUGGACUGCCUGACCACAUCUGUAAGGACAGUCUGCCACCUGCACCCGCCUGGAUGCUUCCUGAUGCUGCACAGCUUGACCCCGCGCCACCUGGCGGCAGUGAUUCCCAGAAAACUGACACGGGGGCCCGGCCCGUGAGUACCAUGCAAAGCCAGGGUCCGACCCCAGGCCCGCUGGUUGCUUCCCCCAUAUGAGACUGCCUCCUGCUAACAAAUGUUCAGCCUUGCUGCUUUCGACCUUCCAGAGUGUGGUGAUCAGUGUGGAGUUUGUCUCCAGCAAGAACAAACAGUGGACUGGGGCUGGUGCUUUAAAAAACAUAAAGCAACUGAGAAUGACCGAGAAGCAUCUAGGGCCUGACUCUUUACAGUAAGCUCAGCACCCACUGUAGAAGUACCCGGAUUACGCCCGACACCAGCACGCGUGUGGGACACUCAAGUCUGACCUUCCUCCCUCUGAGCCUCUGUCCACAAAGGACUCCCCACUGACCCCGAAUCACAUGCUACAAAGAAUAGCCUUCUAAAAAAAAACAGUGAAAUAUUUAAGAUAAUACGACUUCACAGUAUUACAUACACGACUUUGUAAGGGUACAUGGAAGUCCUCAAGAUGACCCUGUGGUUGAUCACGGUCUGUGACUGUGUUUAUAUUCAACGGAAAGUGACCAGAGGAAGGCUGGACUGUGCCAUCCAGACUCCGGGGUUCACCUCCCAAACCAAGAGCCCUCUUGUCCACAGCCACAGCCAGUGUGCAAAAGGCUCCUCCAUCAAAAACAAGGCAAGAAUCCCCGAUGCAAGGAGAGGCGUCCUCGUCCCUCAGUGUCACUGCACCAGAGAAGCAGACCUCUGGAGCCGGUCAUCACUAUGCUGUCUGCACUCCUGCCGUGCGUUCAUCCCCAGAGGUGCUCUCCCCCUCUCCCCCCUGCACGCCCUGCUUUUGUUUCUGUGCACUGGCACUGCCCUCCAGCUGCCUGGAUCAGUGACUCAGGACUUCCCUGCAUGCAGUGCUUGACCACCCUCCCCAUGUCCCGUCUUGGUGCUCAGGCUGGCAGGGCUGCUCUUUUCCUCCCGAGGAUCUCCAUUCAGCCAGACUUCCUUCUGAGACUCAGGCUUGUCUUUACAGGCCCUCUUGUUGCCCUCAGAUGCCUCAAACUCAACAGUGGAUGCCCCAUCAUCCCCGCAAAGGCUCCUCACCACGUUUCCCUUUCCACCAACACACUGCUGCGGGGGGUAGAACCAGCCCCUGCCUGUCCGUGCCCACACCAGCCAAUCCCAACCCUCAGGAUGGCUGCGAUGGGCACCAAGGGGACCCACCACUGAGAAGCAAUCUUAGAAAGUUCCUACAUUAUACUCCUGCCUCGUCUCUGCGCCAACAUUGGCACCUGUGUGGUGGCCCACUGCCCGUGGCAGCCUUGGCCUCGCCCCUCUGCCACGGAUGGCAGACCCUUGGCCAGGCCAGGCUCUGUCACCAGCUCGCACUCUGGGUGUCUCUGCCUGUGCCUCCCUGCCGCACGCUCGUCUGGCGGGUUCACAGCUCCGUGGGAGCCUCCUGACCAGUGGCAAGCCCAGCACCACCCGGCAGUUUGACUCAAUCCUAGAUGGGUGUCUGUUCAUCCACACAGAGGGGCCGGGCUCUCCUGUUUAACCACCGGCCUCUGUCCACUGUGCCCAGAGAAGCACCUGGUUCACGAAAGGCAACCAGUAACGUGGUCAUGAAUGAAUGGAUUCACGAGCAAACACCCAUGGGCGGCAGGGACCACUGUCUGCCGAGGACAGACGUGCCCAGGUCAAUGCCCUUCAGACCCUACCCUCAGCUGUCGUCACAGCCUUUAUUUCUCUAAGCCAGAGCUCAGAGGUCCUUGCAAGCCCCUUGUGCCAGGAGAGCACAGCUGGCUGAUGAAAAGGGACAGAAGCGAGAAGAGGUGCAGAGCCCUGCACAGGAAGGACUGCGGUUUCAGAGGAAUUAGGGACCGGGGAUACGUGGGGGCUCAGGCCUCGUGGUGGAAGGGGAGGUGGGGCUGCAGGGCUGUGAGCACAGAUGGGCACAGCCCGAGAAGGACGGCGGUCUUGGGAGGGCGCUGCUGACCUCCACCCACCUUGCUGAGGAGGACGCUGAUCUUGCUGCCGCUGGCGUUACACCUGAGCGAGGCCAUGCCCGCUGUGCCCGGGAUCAGCGCGGCCACGUUCUUGUCGCUGCAGUGCACUUUCGCCUCCCUGCGGGGGGACACAAGGGUCUCAGGGCAAAGCACAAGCCCGUUCCUCGGGCAUUCACCCUCCCCGUAUGUGGGGAGCGCGCAGUCCCAGGACCGGCUCUCUGAGUGACUGGAAACUUUCAUUCACACAACUUGCGGCUCCUUGAAGGCCAGCCAUGCUCACUCUGGGGGUCUGGACACCCCAGGAGAAGGGCCAGCUCAGAACACAGGGCGAGCUUAAAACUUUAAA
RNA transcript from Ailuropoda melanoleuca (giant panda), 3618 nucleotides. It is a transcript of the gene named transmembrane protein 204, with no coding region annotated. The transcript has 4 exons. The record is from RefSeq and is a predicted model, not a curated record. NCBI's taxonomy places the organism in Eukaryota, Metazoa, Chordata, Mammalia, Carnivora, Ursidae.